GAUGAACGCUGGCGGCGUGCCUAAUACAUGCAAGUCGAGCGAACAGACGAGGAGCUUGCUCCUCUGACGUUAGCGGCGGACGGGUGAGUAACACGUGGAUAACCUACCUAUAAGACUGGGAUAACUUCGGGAAACCGGAGCUAAUACCGGAUAAUUUAUUGAACCGCAUGGUUCAAUAGUGAAAGACGGUUUUGCUGUCACUUAUAGAUGGAUCCGCGCCGCAUUAGCUAGUUGGUAAGGUAACGGCUUACCAAGGCAACGAUGCGUAGCCGACCUGAGAGGGUGAUCGGCCACACUGGAACUGAGACACGGUCCAGACUCCUACGGGAGGCAGCAGUAGGGAAUCUUCCGCAAUGGGCGAAAGCCUGACGGAGCAACGCCGCGUGAGUGAUGAAGGUCUUCGGAUCGUAAAACUCUGUUAUUAGGGAAGAACAAAUGUGUAAGUAACUAUGCACGUCUUGACGGUACCUAAUCAGAAAGCCACGGCUAACUACGUG
RNAcentral lists this ribosomal RNA (497 nucleotides) under uncultured bacterium. RNAcentral's name for it is "partial 16S ribosomal RNA". It matches the Rfam family "Bacterial small subunit ribosomal RNA", at positions 28 to 507 of the family's 1533-position model. The record is from RNAcentral.